This 87-nucleotide transfer RNA is filed under the name Colletotrichum liriopes. It matches the Rfam family "tRNA". From Rfam's summary of the family: Transfer RNA (tRNA) molecules are approximately 80 nucleotides in length. Their secondary structure includes four short double-helical elements and three loops (D, anti-codon, and T loops). Lineage: Eukaryota; Fungi; Ascomycota; Sordariomycetes; Glomerellales; Glomerellaceae. The record is from Rfam by way of RNAcentral. RNAcentral also lists the same sequence under 1 other name.
GGGCGAUUGGCUCAGUGGUAGAGCGCCCGCUUUGCAUUGCCUCAAAAUGUCUGCGGGAGGCCCAGGGUUCAAUCCCCUGAUCGUCCA